AACGAACGCUGGCGGCAUGCCUAACACAUGCAAGUCGAACGAGCUUUUCGGAGCUAGUGGCGCACGGGUGCGUAACGCGUGGGAACCUGCCCUUAGGUUCGGAAUAACACAGAGAAAUUUGUGCUAAUACCGGAUAAUGUCUUCGGACCAAAGAUUUAUCGCCUUUGGAUGGGCCCGCGUAGGAUUAGCUAGUUGGUGAGGUAAAGGCUCACCAAGGCGACGAUCCUUAGCUGGUCUUAGAGGAUGAUCAGCCACACUGGGACCGAGACACGGCCCAGACUCCUACGGGAGGCAGCAGUGGGGAAUAUUGGACAAUGGGCGCAAGCCUGAUCCAGCAAUGCCGCGUGAGUGAUGAAGGCCUUAGGGUUGUAAAGCUCUUUUACCCGGGAUGAUAAUGACAGUACCGGGAGAAUAAGCCCCGGCUAACUCCGUGUCAGCCGCCGCGGUAA
Molecule: ribosomal RNA, 449 nt
Filed under: uncultured bacterium
Lineage: Bacteria
Description: partial 16S ribosomal RNA
Rfam family: Bacterial small subunit ribosomal RNA
Source: RNAcentral